Molecule: ribosomal RNA, 483 nt
Filed under: uncultured bacterium
Lineage: Bacteria
Description: partial 16S ribosomal RNA
Rfam family: Bacterial small subunit ribosomal RNA
Source: RNAcentral
AUUGAACGCUAGCGGGAUGCUUUACACAUGCAAGUCGAACGGCAGCGCGGACUUCGGUCUGGCGGCGCGUGGCGAACGGGUGAGUAAUGUAUCGGAACGUGCCCAGUAUCGGGGGAUAACUACGCUAAAGCGUACCUAAUACCGCAUACGCCCUCCGGGGGAACCCAGUGGAUCGUAAGACCUUGCACUAUUGGAUCGCCCGAUAUCGGAUUAGCUAGUUGGUGAGGUAACGGCUCACCAAGGCGACGAUCCGUAGCUGGUUUGCGAGGACGACCUGCCACACUGGGACUGAGACACGGCCCAGAGUCCUACGGGAGGCAGCAGUGGGGAAUUUUGGACAAUGGGGGCAACCCUGAGCCAGCCAUCCGGCGUGGGCGAUGAAGGCCUUCGGGUUGUAAAGCACUUUUGGCAGGAAAGAAACGUCGCGGGCUAAUACCCCGUGGAACUGACGGUACCUGCAGAAUAAGCACCGGCUAACUACGU